This 584-nucleotide long non-coding RNA is filed under the name Nicotiana benthamiana. RNAcentral's name for it is "long non-coding RNA (NBEN_LNC026824)". The record is from RNAcentral. Lineage: Eukaryota; Viridiplantae; Streptophyta; Magnoliopsida; Solanales; Solanaceae.
GUAACAUCGUCUCGUUCAUUGUGUUCCUUUCUCCACUAUAAGUCUCCAUAUACAUUUUCUUUUUGAAAUGUUUAGUUUAUUUGAUUUGUAAUCUGACUGACACCAUAUUUUCCUAAUUGCAGGCCCACAUUUUAUAGGAUAUACAAGAAAAAAUCAACUGAAGGUUAUCAAUCAGUUCCAUAUGUGGUUGCGCUCUUUAGUUCCAUGCUUUGGAUUUACUAUGCACUUCUCAAGACCAACACUACACUUCUCAUCACUAUAAACUCCUUUGGGGUCUUCAUUGAAACUAUCUAUGUUGGUUUCUACCUUUUCUACGCACCAAAGAACGCCAAGGUAAGGUUUUACAAGACACCUAUAGUUAAGGAGUUUUUUUUUUUCGAUCUUUCCUCUUUCUAAAGCAAGAAAAUUACAUGUAAUUUAUUAAUGCAGGUCCAAACUGUGAAGAUGCUCCUAUUAUCUGUAGUGGGUGGCUUUGGUGCUACAGUUCUCGUUACCCAGUUUCUAUUCAAAGGAGCAGUUCGAGGGCAAAUAGUUGGAUGGAUUUGCCUUGUGUUUUCCUUGUGUGUGUUUGUAGCACCCUUAGG